AAAUUUUUUUCAAUCCGCCUCUUUCUUUCCUGUUUCUUCUUCGUUCUUCCUCUCUCAGUCUCUAGCUCUCUCAGUCUCUAGCCUCUGAGCCUCUCACUCUCUCAGACUCUCUCCAGAUUUCACACAAAUCACGAUCUCAACCACUAUCACUCUCUCUCUCUCUCUCUCUCUCUCUCUCUCUCUCUCUCUCUCACCCGCUCUCUCUAAGUCACUCAGUCUCUCUCUCAACCGCUCUCGCUCGCCUCUGCCUCUCACAGUCUCUCGUCUCUGCCUCUGUUCGUUCUUCCUCUCAGUCACUUUCUCAGUCACCCGCUCUCUCUCAGUCACUCAUUCUCUCUCUCACUGGCUCUCUCUUAGUCGCUCUCACUGUCGUCUCCCUCAGCCGGUUUUGCUCUCUCUGUCUCUCGCUCAGCAACUAUCGCUCUCUUUCACCCGCUCUCUCUUAGUCAUCAAAGGUCUCCCUCUCUCGAUUUUUGUUGGUUUGAGAAUUGAUUUGAAGGCAAAUUUUUUCCAGAUUGGCUUGCUGGCUGUGUUUAUUUCUGAGGUGCAAAUCUGAUUUGAAUAUGAAACAACUCAUGGAAUUGUAUAUGUAUGUGUAAUAGAAAUUUAUUUGUUUUUAUUUGGAUUUACUUUUGAACUUUGCAAAUAUGCAAAUUGUGAUUGAGAUUACUCUCACAAUUUGCUAUGGACUGUAAUAAUAAUUUCUGUAUUUGGAGAUGUGUGGUGGAUGAUGAUUUGCUAUGGUUUUAAGGUUU
Long non-coding RNA from Prunus avium (sweet cherry), 755 nucleotides. RefSeq lists it as uncharacterized. Lineage: Eukaryota; Viridiplantae; Streptophyta; Magnoliopsida; Rosales; Rosaceae. The record is from RefSeq and is a predicted model, not a curated record.